CUGGCUCAGGAUGAACGCUAGCUACAGGCUUAACACGAUGCAAGUCGAGGGGCAGCAUGACGAUAGCUUGCUAUGUGAUGGCGACCGGCGCACGGGUGCGUAACACGUAUCCAAUCUACCCGGUACUCGGGGAUAGCCUUUCGAAAGAAAGAUUAAUACCCGAUACUGUUGGAUCUCCGCAGUGGCGGUCCAACCAAAGAUUUCAUCGGUGCCGGAUGAGGAUGCGUCUGAUUAGGUAGAUGGCGGGGUAACGGCCCACCAUGCCGACGAUCAGUAGGGGUUCUGAGAGGAAGGUCCCCCACAUUGGAACUGAGACACGGUCCAAACUCCUACGGGAGGCAGCAGUGAGGAAUAUUGGUCAAUGGACGCAAGUCUGAACCAGCCAAGUAGCGUGAAAGGAGGACGGCCCUACGGGUUGUAAACUUCUUUUGUACGGGAAUAAAGUGAGGCACGCGCUGCCUUUUUGCAUGUACCGUACGAAUAAGCAUCGGCUAAUUCCGUGCCAGCAGCAGC
This 513-nucleotide ribosomal RNA is filed under the name uncultured bacterium. Its description in RNAcentral is "bacterial SSU rRNA". It matches the Rfam family "Bacterial small subunit ribosomal RNA", at positions 19 to 518 of the family's 1533-position model. The record is from RNAcentral.